AGCAGCCGCGGUAAUUCCAGCUCCAAUAGCGUAUAUUAAAGUUGUUGCAGUUAAAAAGCUCGUAGUUGAAUUUCGAGAUCAAUUUGUUGGUCGUGCCUCGGUACGUACUGGCAAUUUUGGUUUCUCCCUUCUGAAGAACCAUGAUGUCAUUAAUUUGGUGUCAUGGGGAAUCAGGACUGUUACUUUGAAAAAAUUAGAGUGUUUAAAGCAGGCUCGCGCUUGAGUACAUUAGCAUGGAAUAAUGAAAUAGGACGUUUGAUUCUAUUUUGUUGGUUUCUAGGAUCGACGUAAUGAUUAAUAGGGAUAGUUGGGGGCAUUAGUAUUCAAUUGUCAGAGGUGAAAUUCUUGGAUUUAUUGAAGACUAACUACUGCGAAAGCAUUUGCCAAGGAUGUUUUCAUUAAUCAAGAACGAAAGUUAGGGGAUCGAAGACGAUCAGAUACCGUCGUAGUCUUAACCAUAAACUAUGCCGACUAGGGAUCGGAUGAUGUUAAUUUUUUAAUGACUCA
RNAcentral lists this ribosomal RNA (507 nucleotides) under uncultured Glomeromycotina. Its description in RNAcentral is "SSU rRNA". It matches the Rfam family "Eukaryotic small subunit ribosomal RNA", at positions 569 to 1078 of the family's 1831-position model. The record is from RNAcentral. Lineage: Eukaryota; Fungi; Glomeromycota.